AUCACAUCCAUCCUCCAAAAACAGAAGCAGAGGCUGACGCCCAAAAUAACAUGCCGAGUUAGAACCAAGCCGAGACCAAGAAUGUGUAUGUACCCAAGAUAUUUUGCAGCUUUACACAAAAUCUGGGGGAGACCAGGGACUUUUAAAACAGAAGCCGUGAUGUACAUUGGCCACAGUUAGAGGGAGAGAGGGGUCUUUCGUUAAUUCUUCAUUCUAGAGAUUUAAUGUCAUAUGCUCAG
Molecule: long non-coding RNA, 239 nt
Filed under: Homo sapiens (human)
Lineage: Eukaryota; Metazoa; Chordata; Mammalia; Primates; Hominidae
Description: non-protein coding lnc-ARID1B-3:1
Source: RNAcentral